Molecule: ribosomal RNA, 484 nt
Filed under: uncultured bacterium
Lineage: Bacteria
Description: partial 16S ribosomal RNA
Rfam family: Bacterial small subunit ribosomal RNA
Source: RNAcentral
AUUGAACGCUGGCGGCAGGCCUAACACAUGCAAGUCGAGCGGAUGAAGGGAGCUUGCUCCUGGAUUCAGCGGCGGACGGGUGAGUAAUGCCUAGGAAUCUGCCUGGUAGUGGGGGAUAACGUCCGGAAACGGGCGCUAAUACCGCAUACGUCCUGAGGGAGAAAGUGGGGGAUCUUCGGACCUCACGCUAUCAGAUGAGCCUAGGUCGGAUUAGCUAGUUGGUGGGGUAAAGGUCUACCAAGGCGACGAUCCGUAACUGGUCCGAGAGGAUGAUCAGUCACACUGGAACUGAGACACGGUCCAGACUCCUACGGGAGGCAGCAGUGGGGAAUAUUGGACAAUGGGCGAAAGCCUGAUCCAGCCAUGCCGCGUGUGUGAAGAAGGUCUUCGGAUUGUAAAGCACUUUAAGUUGGGAGGAAGGGCAGUAAGUUAAUACCUUACUGUUUUGACGUUACCAACAGAAUAAGCACCGGCUAACUUCGUG